RNAcentral lists this ribosomal RNA (249 nucleotides) under uncultured bacterium. Its description in RNAcentral is "partial 16S ribosomal RNA". It matches the Rfam family "Bacterial small subunit ribosomal RNA", at positions 107 to 354 of the family's 1533-position model. The record is from RNAcentral.
UGAGUAACACGUAUGCAACCUGCCUGCCACAGCCGGAUAAUCGGGAGAAAUUCCGUCUAAUACGGCAUAAUGCAUCGACGGAACAUCCUGUUGGUGCCAAAGGUUAAUUCCGGUGGCGGAUGGGCAUGCGUCGCAUUAGUUAGUUGGCGGUGUAACGGACCACCAAGACGACGAUGCGUAGGGGUUCUGAGAGGAAGGUCCCCCACACUGGUACUGAGACACGGACCAGACUCCUACGGAAGGCAGCAG